CAAUGUUAACCUCUUUUCUUUUUCUCUUUUCUUUUUCUCUUUUCAGAGAACUGAGCUGAAAAAGAAAGGAUAUUUUGGUGGAUCUAGCUAGUAAUUCAAGCCUGAUAUUAUACAGUAAUCUUGCAUGCUUCUUUCUCAACCUCUAGAGCCGCCAGCGACUAGCUCACCACGUGGCUAGGGUUGUCAAGUGUGAAAGUGCAAGUGCAAAUACAAAUUAAACUACAAUGUUUCCUUCAAACAAAAACAUCAAUGGUUACUAUGACCCAGUCCAUUUUACAAAUGACCCAUCAAUUUUCAAUAAGCCCUUUUUCAAUGACAUCAUCCCAAAUUCAAAACUAGGAGAUGCUUCUUUAUCCUUCUUGCACUUCCCAUUAGAUGACCAUGAUGACUUUCUCCAUGAGCUUUUACUUCAACAUCAACCUUUGGGAACUGAUAAUAUUCCUACUGUGUCUGAAAGUGUUGUCGACAUGGUGUACUCAACCCAAAAUGAACUUAACAAUAGUCCAAACGUCACCACCCAGCAGCCCCCGAGGAGAAAGGCACCUGCUCCAAAGAAAGAUCGGCACAGCAAAAUCAACACUGCUAGAGGACUAAGAGACCGGAGAAUGAGAUUGUCUCUUGAAGUUGCUCGACGUUUUUUCAAACUGCAAGAUAUGUUAGGCUAUGACAAAGCCAGUAAAACUGUUGAGUGGUUGCUUUCACAGGCAAAACAUGAGAUCGAAAAACUAGAAGGACAUCAUCCCUGCAUCGUGAACAAUAUACUGGAAGGACAGCUUCCCCAGAUCGUGAAUUACAGUUACAGUGCUGGUGCAAAGAGUUCUUCGUCUACUAACGAGUGUGAAGUGGUAUCUGGAGUACACAAGGCUGCCAUCAAUUCUGAAGGAUCAAAACCUUCAAUUAAAGCAAACAAGAUCAGACAGUCCCGUAAGAAUGUUCUUCGCCCUCCUACGAGGGAUAUGAGGAACAAAGCAAGAGCAAGGGCUAGAGAGAGGACACGUAGAAAGAUGUUUGGUCGCAACCUAGAAACGACUAACUUGUCCAAUCAAUUAUUGUCUUGCAGUUCCUUUGAAAAUGGUGAAGAAUCAGGUCUAUACGAGAACUGUUCCUUGGAUGUAGUGGCCGGGGUUGAAGAACAAGGUUCUGAGCAUUUAGCCAACCUUGAACAAUUUGAAGAUGAUUCUGUGGUGGUUAUGGAAAAGUGGAGCCCCACUUCCAGUUUCAAUUAUCCCCACAACAUCGGAACUCCCGAAGAGCAUCAAUUUCCAGAUUUUCAAUUCUUCGGCAAACCAUAGAAGCCUGCUACAACAAUUAAUCAAGAACAUCAAUGCUAAAAAGAGUUAUCUCUAUCUUUGGUGUGUGUCAAAUAGGUAUCUGAGAUAUCCAGGCUUACAUUGGAACCUACUUAAUCCUCAGAGUCACGGAAUACUCUACAAGUCCAAUAAAUCAAGAGGGUGAAGGAUUGUUUGCCAAACCUCAAAAUUCUACUUGUCACAAAGGAAUAAAAUGGCAGCCACAAUAAUACAAG
Pistacia vera is the source of this 1525-nucleotide RNA transcript. It is a transcript of the gene named transcription factor CYCLOIDEA-like, with no coding region annotated. The transcript is spliced from 4 exons. The record is from RefSeq and is a predicted model, not a curated record. NCBI's taxonomy places the organism in Eukaryota, Viridiplantae, Streptophyta, Magnoliopsida, Sapindales, Anacardiaceae.